RNAcentral lists this ribosomal RNA (613 nucleotides) under Rhodotorula mucilaginosa. RNAcentral describes it as "eukaryotic LSU rRNA". It matches the Rfam family "Eukaryotic large subunit ribosomal RNA", at positions 38 to 667 of the family's 3401-position model. Lineage: Eukaryota; Fungi; Basidiomycota; Microbotryomycetes; Sporidiobolales; Sporidiobolaceae. The record is from RNAcentral.
GCAUAUCAAUAAGCGGAGGAAAAGAAACUAACAAGGAUUCCCCUAGUAGCGGCGAGCGAAGCGGGAAGAGCUCAAAUUUAUAAUCUGGCACCUUCGGUGUCCGAGUUGUAAUCUCUAGAAAUGUUUUCCGCGUUGGACCGCACACAAGUCUGUUGGAAUACAGCGGCAUAGUGGUGAGACCCCCGUAUAUGGUGCGGACGCCCAGCGCUUUGUGAUACAUUUUCGAAGAGUCGAGUUGUUUGGGAAUGCAGCUCAAAUUGGGUGGUAAAUUCCAUCUAAAGCUAAAUAUUGGCGAGAGACCGAUAGCGAACAAGUACCGUGAGGGAAAGAUGAAAAGCACUUUGGAAAGAGAGUUAACAGUACGUGAAAUUGUUGGAAGGGAAACGCUUGAAGUCAGACUUGCUUGCCGAGCAAUCGGUUUGCAGGCCAGCAUCAGUUUUCCGGGAUGGAUAAUGGUAGAGAGAAGGCAGCAGUUUCGGCUGUGUUAUAGCUCUCUGCUGGAUACAUCUUGGGGGACUGAGGAACGCAGUGUGCCUUUGGCGGGGGUUUCGACCUCUUCACACUUAGGAUGCUGGUGGAAUGGCUUUAAACGACCCGUCUUGAAACACGGACC